GGAGUUAGCCGGUGCUUCUUCUGCGAGUAACGUCACAGAUGUAAGGUAUUAACUUACACCCUUUCCUCCUCGCUGAAAGUGCUUUACAACCCGAAGGCCUUCUUCACACACGCGGCAUGGCUGCAUCAGGGUUUCCCCCAUUGUGCAAUAUUCCCCACUGCUGCCUCCCGUAGGAGUCUGGGCCGUGUCUCAGUCCCAGUGUGGCUGAUCAUCCUCUCAGACCAGCUAGGGAUCGUCGCCUAGGUGAGCCUUUACCUCACCUACUAGCUAAUCCCACCUGGGCUUAUCCAUCAGCGCAAGGCCCGAAGGUCCCCUGCUUUCCCCCGUAGGGCGUAUGCGGUAUUAGCAGUCGUUUCCAACUGUUAUCCCCACAAAUGGGCAAAUUCCCAGGCAUUACUCACCCGUCCGCCGCUCGUCAUCUUCAAAGCAAGCUUUUGAAAUGUUACCGCUCGACUUGCAUGUGUUAGGCCUGCCGCCAGCGUUCAAUCUGAGCCAGAAUCAAACUCUGA
Molecule: ribosomal RNA, 509 nt
Filed under: uncultured bacterium
Lineage: Bacteria
Description: partial 16S ribosomal RNA
Source: RNAcentral